Molecule: transfer RNA, 69 nt
Filed under: Clibanarius albidigitus
Lineage: Eukaryota; Metazoa; Arthropoda; Malacostraca; Decapoda; Diogenidae
Description: tRNA-Tyr
Rfam family: tRNA
About the family: Transfer RNA (tRNA) molecules are approximately 80 nucleotides in length. Their secondary structure includes four short double-helical elements and three loops (D, anti-codon, and T loops). Further hydrogen bonds mediate the characteristic L-shaped molecular structure. tRNAs have two regions of fundamental functional importance: the anti-codon, which is responsible for specific mRNA codon recognition, and the 3' end, to which the tRNAs corresponding amino acid is attached (by aminoacyl-tRNA synthetases). tRNAs cope with the degeneracy of the genetic code in two manners: having more than one tRNA (with a specific anti-codon) for a particular amino acid; and 'wobble' base-pairing, i.e. permitting non-standard base-pairing at the 3rd anti-codon position.
Source: RNAcentral
AAUGAAGUGGCUGAAAUCAGAAAGUAUUAGACUGUAAAUCUAAAAGUGGGUAACACUACCCCUUCAUUA